CGCCUGUUUAUCAAAAACAUCUUUUCUCGUUAGUUUUUGAAGUAUGGCCUGCCCACUGACUUUUAUGUUGAAGGGCCGCGGUAUUUUGACCGUGCAAAGGUAGCAUAGUCAUUAGUUCUUUAAUUGUGAUCUGGUAUGAAUGGCUUGACGAGGCAUGGGCUGUCUUAAUUUUGAAUUGUUUAUUGAAUUUGGUCUUUGAGUUAAAAUUCUUAGAUGUUUUUAUGGGACGAGAAGACCCUAUAGAGUUUGACAUUUAUUAUGGUCCUUUUCUGUUUGUGAGGGUUCACUGGGCCGUAUAGUAUGUUUUGUUGGGGUGAUGGGAGGGAUUUAUUUAACCCCUCCUUUAGGUUGUUAUAUUUAUUUAUAUUUACUUGAUCCAUUUAUUUUGAUUGUAAGAUUAAAUUACCUUAGGGAUAACAGCGUAA
Molecule: ribosomal RNA, 425 nt
Filed under: Reticulitermes tibialis
Lineage: Eukaryota; Metazoa; Arthropoda; Insecta; Blattodea; Rhinotermitidae
Description: partial 16S ribosomal RNA
Rfam family: Bacterial large subunit ribosomal RNA
Source: RNAcentral